Molecule: long non-coding RNA, 268 nt
Filed under: Vulpes vulpes (red fox)
Lineage: Eukaryota; Metazoa; Chordata; Mammalia; Carnivora; Canidae
Description: Nuclear RNase P (ENSVVUG00000016756.1)
Rfam family: Nuclear RNase P
About the family: Ribonuclease P (RNase P) is a ubiquitous endoribonuclease, found in archaea, bacteria and eukarya as well as chloroplasts and mitochondria. Its best characterised activity is the generation of mature 5'-ends of tRNAs by cleaving the 5'-leader elements of precursor-tRNAs. Cellular RNase Ps are ribonucleoproteins.
Source: RNAcentral
GAGGCAUUUGUGAAAGAGAUAUUUUCUUCUCUCCAUCCCUGCUACAGAGCACAGUAUCUGGCAUUUAAAAUCAUAAAGUCUUCUGGGCUCUGCUUGGGAGGGCAGACUGGGCAGGAGAUGCUGUGGACCCUGCCCCUGGGGAGAGGCCUGGCUGAUGCCUCCUUAGCUAAAGUUUGGAACAGACUCAUUGCCAGCAAAAUGGGCUCAAUGGCUGAGGUGAGGUCCCCUUCCCAGGGGGCCUCAUAACCCAAUUCAUACUACUCUCCCC